RNAcentral lists this unclassified non-coding RNA (391 nucleotides) under soil metagenome. RNAcentral's name for it is "partial contains 5.8S ribosomal RNA, internal transcribed spacer 2, and large subunit ribosomal RNA". The stretch from base 1 to 122 matches the Rfam family "5.8S ribosomal RNA", at positions 35 to 154 of the family's 154-position model. The record is from RNAcentral.
GAUGAAGAACGUAGCGAAAUGCGAUACUUGGUGUGAAUUGCAGAAUCCCGUGAACCAUCGAGUCUUUGAACGCAAGUUGCGCCCGAAGCCAUUAGGCCGAGGGCACGCCUGCCUGGGCGUCACACGUCGUUGCCCCCCCAUCUACUCCUUCGGGAUUGCGGGGGGCGGAUGAUGGCCUCCCGUGCGCCUCGUCGCGCGGUUGGCAUAAAUGCCAAGUCCUCGGCGACGCACGCCACGACAAUCGGUGGUUGCGAAACCUCGGUUGCCCGUCGUGUGCGGUCGUCGCGCAUCGAGGGCUCGAAAAAAUUGCCGGGCUCCGGCUCGGCUUUCAACGCGACCCCAGGUCAGGCGGGGUUACCCGCUGAACUUAAGCAUAUCAAUAAGCGGAGGA